Molecule: long non-coding RNA, 5169 nt
Organism: Capsicum annuum
Lineage: Eukaryota; Viridiplantae; Streptophyta; Magnoliopsida; Solanales; Solanaceae
Exons: 4
Source: RefSeq, a predicted model, not a curated record
UAUGCGGAAAGCCCAACUAAGAAAAGCAGGUAAAAAGAAAACAAAAAAAAAAGAGAGCGAAUAAAGGGGGAUGCCUUUACUAUAUUAGCUACUAAACUGGUAAAGUAGGAGAUAUCUUAUCUAACGCAGUGGGAAAAGUCAUAGAUCCAGCCAUUUUGUGCAAGAAAUUGGGUAUUUGUUUUAGUACAACAGCAAGAUCUCUUGAUAAUGAAUCUGAUGUGGCCAGCAAUUCAGGUUGAAAGAGGUUGUUUGUAUGUUGGUGUCCAAAUUUGAAGUUGCCUUACUUGCCGAGCAGGCGGAGAUCUAAGAGAAUUGCACUGGAUGUGCUUGAUGAACUUGAAAGUGAAGUGGAUGAGGAGUUUGAAUCAAGAAAAUUGAAAGAGGAAGAGGUCAUGGCAGAUCUGAAAGAUGAAAAUUUUACUAUUAUUGAGAUAUUUGGUAUGGGUGGAGUUGGAAAGAUAAUUCUUGUUGAUUUAUCUAGAUAAAGGGAAAAAGAGAGGUCGUUCCGGUUGCUUAUUUGUGUUUAGGAGAUUUUGAAUGUGUUGUUCCACCUAUUUCGAAAAAAACAGCGGACACUGUUCUAAAAAGGAAUGCGGAGUUUGUUGCAGUUGACGCUUUUCUUUUUCAACAUUGAGAAGUCAUUGAUGAAUUUGAGAAAUUUGAGAAAGUAUUUCAGUGGUAGCUGGAUCAAUAUCUCUCUUUGCUUUGCCGCAAAAAUAUUUGUGUUGCUUGGAAAUGGUUGAAAUAGGGGCCUCAAACUUUUGCAGGUUUAUUGUCCCAGCUUGGAACAGCUAACUUUCGAUUGGCUACUUCAGCAAACUUGAAAUAUUGGAAAUAAUCGAGUGUGGCAUACUGAGAAACUUGAUGUCUCCAUCAGUGACAGAUAUGUUGUGAAUCUCCAAACAUUGCAGAUAAGAAACUGUGCAUUGAUGAAAGAAGUCAUCGCGGAAGGGUAACUAAGAGAAGAAAUUACUAACUUGUCCUUAUUUCCCGAUUGGAAAGAGCUAGAGGUGAGCAAGCUACCAAAACCUGAUGCAUUUCUUUCCGAUGAAGCACGCUCUAGAAUUUCCAUUUCUUAGCUCUUCUGAAAUGAAGAAUUUGAAAUGCCUGAUCGAAGAAAAAAUGUCAAAGAUGCCGAGGCGUAAGAUGAUCUCAGUAAAUCAAUUUUAAGUGGCUUAGCCAAAACAGAAUUCUUUUCUUUAUGAGCUUCCCAAAAUGAAAAAUGGCUAAAUCAAAGAUUGUUCAUUGUUGCACCAAGUCCUUAUGCAAAUUUAUGAAGGUUGAUUAUAUGCUUUUCUUCCCUAGUUCUGGAAAACAAAAAAUAUGGUCCAACUUCUUGAGAGAGCUUUCGGAGAUUAAACAGAUGGUCAUGCAAUCUUGAAUCGAAAAAUGUACUACUUCCUUUUCAAUUUAUGUGAACUUAUUUGGUUGAGACUAAAGUUUUAAGGAAGAUUUUUGAAAUUUAUGAUUUUGACCAUGUCAUAACAUUUGUGUUUCUAUAAAAGCUUCUCAGUAAUAGUAAAAUGAGAAGUUUAAACUAAAUUAGUUUCAAUGGUAAACACAGUCAUUCUUUUUAAACUGGCUAGAAAGAAAAUACAUUCAUGUAAAUCAAAAUGGAGGAAUUAUUUGUUAAUCAAUAUUGAUACGGUCAUAAACUUUAUAAGUAUGCCUCUCUCUGUUCUUUUCAGCCAGAUCUAUGAACAAGUUCCCUACUAAGACUAUGGUUUCCUUUACUAUAUUAUUAGCUACUCCCUCUGUCCCAGUUUAUAUUACUCACUUCCUUCUUAGUCAGCCUCCAAAAAAUGAUAUAUUUCUAUCUUUAGUAACAUUUUAGCUUUAAAAUAUUUAUUUUACUCUUAAUGAAAUGAUUUAUAGCCACACAAAUAUCUAUGAAUUAUUUUAGACCACAAAUUUCAAGAGUUUUUCUUUCUUUCUUAAAAUUUGUGCUGAGGCAAAGAAGGAGAUAGUUAUGUUGUGGGGAAAGUCAUAGAUGGCUUGAUCCAACCAGUUGUGCAAGAGGUGGUAUAUGUUUUACUACAAAAACAAAACCGACAUUGUUUCAUAGAAAAAUCAAACUGUUGUUAACCAAGCAUAAAACUAAUGUAUCUAAUAAAUAUAGUUUGAUGGCCUUGAACACAACAAGAAAUUCAGUGACAGAAUUGCAACCAGAACAUCUUGCUUGCACACAAGAUUAUGCAUUGGACCAGUGCAUCAAAUUAGCUUUUGUGUUUCAAGUAGCACAAUGAAAUAUAUGAUCCUUAUCCAUUCCUUUUUAACUUGUUUUCUUAGUCUUAAUGAGUGCAUGUGCACCCGUCUCUUCCACGUGGAUCCACCUCAUCUUUUUAUGCUGCGCAAGCUGCAUGUGUUUGCACCCUCCAACUUGAGGGGUGUUGACAUUGGCCCAUCUUUCAGAUCAAUCCAGGCCCAAGUUAAGAUUGAGCCUGGUCCAUAUUUCUGUAUAGUUAAAUACGCCUAUUGUACUGAGGACUCGUUACACAAUGAGAUAAUAUCUCUUUCUUCUCCCUUUUAGGGUUUCCUCAAAUCAUGGAUCUGCAAUUUUGUAGAUCUGACAGUUACUUGUUGAGCAGGAGAGCUAAGAAAAUUGCAAUGGAUGUGCUUCAACUUCAAACCAAAGGCAGAGAUUAUGUUGAUUUCUCCUAUCCUGCACCAACAUCUGUUGGAAUUGAAGCAAUACCAAGUAAAGGCGACGAGGAGUUUGAAUCAAGAAAAUUGAUUGAGAAAGAGGUAAUGGUAGCUUUGAGAGAUGAGAGUGUCACUGUUAUUGGGGUAUAUGGUAUGGGCGGAGUAGGAAAGAUAAAACUUGUUUACAAAGAGCGAAGUAGGAAAGGUUGUUCGAUGAUGUUGUCAUCGCAACUUUCAGACUGAUUACAAGGUGAAAGUUUGUGGUUGUGGAGAUUUGUGUUCGAGGCGACCAUAAAUAUUGAUAGAAAGUGACAUUGACUAUGUUUCUCUGGAAUGUUGGAAUCUUAUCCGAAAAAGCACACUGAGGGUAUCGACGUCUAUGGUGGGAGGUCACAAAAAACCAACAAACUUUUAAAAAAUGCCGAAAGUGCAUGACAACUAAAGUGUAAAAGUAAGUCUUCUUGGGAGGAUACCCUAACUCUUAGUUGUUUCUGCCGCGGAUGCGGGAGGCUAUCCUGUCAAUUAGAUAUUCCCGUUCUCAGAUGAGGGUUCUCUCUUGUUCUUUCAAAGUUUGAAUGUGGUUAAAGUGUGGUUGUAUUCAUUGUUCCACCAACUCCGGAUCUGGAUGAGCAGCAAACAUGUGUUCCCAAAAGGCAAGCAGAGGUUGUUGUCGUUCGCGCUUUGCAUUUCAUCAUUUAUAAUUAUUUGAUUAAUUUGAGGAAGUCUAGUGCUUGCUGUAUCCAUAUUUCAAUUGUUGCAAAAUAAUUUGAUGAGCUUCCUAACCAAUAUUUUCGUCAAACCUUGAGUUGCGAAUGUUAAAACUCUUUGAAUGAUUUUCUUGUUGGAAUGAGUAAACUCAAUGUCUUAACAUGGUAACUCCAUUGUGCCCUUUCCAGUAUCGGUUCGAUUGUUGUCAAAUCUAGUAUGUCUGAUUCAUUAAUGUUAGAUGACAUAUCAUGAUUUGUGAACUUGUUAAUUUAGAAAUUCUCAACAAUAAAGAUUAUGCCUUAAAGGUUAGAGUUUUGGAAAAUUGACCAAUCUAAUUAUGUUAAGAGUUUUGGAUUAUGAGGAACAACACUUGAAAGGAUUACACUAGGGAUCUUAGUUUCAUUAAAGGAACUAUAUAUUGUGAAAGUAGAACAUUUAAGUUACUCGACCUUGAGUGAGCUGGAAUCCUAAUCAUAAUUGUGCUGACCGAGUUGCUACUGGAUGGAUUUCUUUACUUCAUGUUACCUUAGUGUAGGAUAUUGAGAUAUGGUUCCAUAUUUUCUAUUUGUAAUUGAAGAUGUAAGAAAUGCAAGGUUUCCAACUUUUGAGCCUAGAACGACUAGACCUAGUUGGGGCUGACAGCAUAACUGCUCUAUGCUCUCACCAACUUCCGAAUGGCUAUUUCAGCAAAACAUGAAAUAUUGGAAGUAAUCGAAUAUGGCAAAUUGAGAAACUUGAUGUCUCCGUCAGUGGCAACAUGUGUUCUGAGUCCCUGAAUAUUAUAUAUAGGAAACUGUCAAUCGAUGGAGGAAGAGAUCACGGGAGAGGAACAAGGAGAAGAAAUGACUAACGAGUCCUUAUUUCCCUGUUGGAAUAGCUGAAGCUUAGCAAGCUACCAAAGCUGAUGCAUUUCUUUCCGACGAAGCACGCUCUAGUAUUUUCGUUUCUUAAAGAAGUCAACAUUAAAAGCUGUAAAGGCAUUUGUCCUAAGAUCCAAGAGUACACCAAGUCUGAGGAAUGACUGAUCCAAGGAACAAGAAGCUAGCAAUGACGACGAAUAUGAAGCUAGUGAUGUCUAUGGAUCCAAAACUAGCGGGUGUUCCCCCCAUGGUAGCUAGUCUCAGAUGUUCCUAGAGUGCCUGGAGAAAUAUAUGAUAGUUUUUUAAGGUUUCUGGAUGAGACUCUUAACACUCUAUAAUAUUACAUAUCUCACCUCAGGGCUAAUAGAAAGUUCCAAGUCCGAGUUAUAGGAGCAACCAUCCGAAGAAGUAAAGUCGAGCCAAACAGGAAGUGAACUGAAAGAAGCGAACUGAAAACGGAUAAAGGUUAGCUUCAAGAGAACAGUUGCCAUCCAUUGCGAGAAAGAUCCCAAUUCCGGAUAUGCUGUUUUAUGUCGCUCAUUGACUUGAUUGGGACAUUCUUGUUUUAAUACGUGAAGAUGGUGAUGAAUCCUAAUAUAUUGCCAGAAUCUUUUCGAUUGUUCUCUCGUUACACUAGAUGUAUAUAAAGAGUUUUUUCCGAAGUAAACGGGUCAGUGACCCCCUCCCAGCUAUGUAGGUCUGUGGUCCGCCUCUGUAGUAUUUAUAUAAGGGGAAUACUGCAGGUAUUCUUUUAUUUUCUCAAGUCGAUUUUGAUUUCUUUUUAAACAAUUCUGUUUAAUAAUUCUAUGCAUUUUAUGUAAUGGCUAAUGGCCUUGGCCAAAAUAUAACUCUUUUCUUUAGGAGCUUUCUAAAAUGAAGAAUGGCAAAAUCAAACAUUGUUAAUUGUUGAGCAAAGUCCUAAUGCAAUUUGUAUGAAGGUUGAUGAUAUGUUUUUCCU